AUCCAGAUGACGAGCUCAUAUAGGACGAAAUGCACAUCCUGGAU
RNAcentral lists this non-coding RNA (44 nucleotides) under Trichobilharzia regenti. Lineage: Eukaryota; Metazoa; Platyhelminthes; Trematoda; Strigeidida; Schistosomatidae. The record is from RNAcentral.